AGCAGCCGCGGUAAUUCCAGCUCCAAUAGCGUAUAUUAAAGUUGUUGCAGUUAAAAAGCUCGUAGUUGAAUUUCGGGAUCAAUACGUCGGUCGUGCUUCGGUACGUACUGGCGUCAUUGGUUUCUCCCUUCUGACGAACCAUGAUGUCAUUAACUUGGUGUCAUGGGAAAUCAGGACUGUUACUUUGAAAAAAUUAGAGUGUUUAAAGCAGGCUCACGCUUGAAUACAUUAGCAUGGAAUAAUGAAAUAGGACGUUCGAUCCUAUUUUGUUGGUUUCUAGGAUCAACGUAAUGAUUAAUAGGGAUAGUUGGGGGCAUUAGUAUUCAAUUGUCAGAGGUGAAAUUCUUGGAUUUAUUGAAGACUAACUACUGCGAAAGCAUUUGCCAAGGAUGUUUUCAUUAAUCAAGAACGAAAGUUAGGGGAUCGAAGACGAUCAGAUACCGUCGUAGUCUUAACCAUAAACUAUGCCGACUAGGGAUCGGAUGAUGUUAAUUUUUUAAUGACUCAUUCGGCGCCUUACG
RNAcentral lists this ribosomal RNA (521 nucleotides) under uncultured Glomeraceae. Its description in RNAcentral is "SSU rRNA". It matches the Rfam family "Eukaryotic small subunit ribosomal RNA", at positions 569 to 1092 of the family's 1831-position model. Lineage: Eukaryota; Fungi; Glomeromycota; Glomeromycetes; Glomerales; Glomeraceae. The record is from RNAcentral.